Nanorana parkeri is the source of this 148-nucleotide long non-coding RNA. RefSeq lists it as uncharacterized. Lineage: Eukaryota; Metazoa; Chordata; Amphibia; Anura; Dicroglossidae. The record is from RefSeq and is a predicted model, not a curated record. The transcript has 3 exons.
GUCUGGUAGGAAUCCCUGAGUUUGCAUGUUCUCUUUGUGUUUGCGUGGUUUUACUCCGGGUACUCUGGGUUUUCCCCACACUCCAAAGACAUGCUGGUAGGUUGUUGGCUCCUGUCUAAAGUGGCCCUUGUGUAUAUGCAUGUGAGAU